GUAGUUCAACCUGGCAUGCUCAUUUUAUUUUUUCGACUACUUUUUCAGUCGCAUUUUUAUGCCCGCCUGAGCCUUUUAACCGAUCGAUUUUUAUUUUAAAAUUUGAUCAAAACCUGUAUGUUUCCGAGAAGUUUAUUUUGCGCUGAUCAUUUUUAUACGUUCACUUUAUUUUUUUGGACAUUUUUUAUGCCUGAUUUUUAUUCAUUUUUUAUCCGAUUAUUCUUUAUCUUUCGCCAAAAUAAUAUGAUGAAUUAUUUAGAAUUAUCUAUGUUGUCAAUUUGAUUUUAUUCAUAUUUGUUUUUUUUUAAAUUUAAAUAGUAAGAAUAAAA
RNAcentral lists this long non-coding RNA (329 nucleotides) under Lathyrus oleraceus (garden pea). Its description in RNAcentral is "Pisum sativum (pea) long non-coding RNA (PSAT_LNC006812)". Lineage: Eukaryota; Viridiplantae; Streptophyta; Magnoliopsida; Fabales; Fabaceae. The record is from RNAcentral.